This 30-nucleotide non-coding RNA is filed under the name Rattus norvegicus (Norway rat). The record is from RNAcentral. Lineage: Eukaryota; Metazoa; Chordata; Mammalia; Rodentia; Muridae.
UCGUCUUUGGUGUGUCCCACAUGUUUGCCU